UACGAAGGGGGCUAGCGUUGCUCGGAAUUACUGGGCGUAAAGGGCGCGUAGGCGGCACUGUUAGUCAGGCGUGAAAGUCCUGGGCUCAACCUGGGAACUGCGCUUGAUACGGCAGAGCUAGAGGAUGGAAGAGGCUCGCGGAAUUCCCAGUGUAGAGGUGAAAUUCGUAGAUAUUCGGAAGAACACCAGUGGCGAAGGCGGCUCACUGGCCCGGUACUGACGCUGAGGUGCGAAAGCGUGGGGAGCAAACAGG
This 253-nucleotide ribosomal RNA is filed under the name uncultured bacterium. RNAcentral's name for it is "partial 16S ribosomal RNA". It matches the Rfam family "Bacterial small subunit ribosomal RNA", at positions 524 to 776 of the family's 1533-position model. The record is from RNAcentral.